AUGCCACUUUACUUACGCUGGCCCCAACAAUGUGUUUUAAUCACUGUGUUUUUAAAUAGUUUUUUUGUGGCGACAACUAGACAGCCUCAGACUGAUGGAACACACAUUGAAGUGGCUGGACAGCGUCCACGACCCAGACUCUGCAGACUGCCACAUACGUCGACAUCAGCUCAAAGUGUAGCACCGGGUAAUGAGAACACCUGGACGGCACAGCAGCAUGGAACACAUGGAAACAUGGGACAGAAUGACAGUUUUCUCAAUUUGUUUUUCUACCUGCACUGUUUGAUGGAGUGGUUUCGUUGGAUCGUUCAGGAGAAGGAUUCACCCCAGGAAAGGGUUUGA
This 342-nucleotide long non-coding RNA is filed under the name Betta splendens (Siamese fighting fish). Its description in RNAcentral is "lncRNA (ENSBSLG00000022276.1)". Lineage: Eukaryota; Metazoa; Chordata; Actinopteri; Anabantiformes; Osphronemidae. The record is from RNAcentral.